This 253-nucleotide ribosomal RNA is filed under the name uncultured bacterium. Its description in RNAcentral is "partial 16S ribosomal RNA". It matches the Rfam family "Bacterial small subunit ribosomal RNA", at positions 524 to 776 of the family's 1533-position model. The record is from RNAcentral.
UACGGAGGGUGCGAGCGUUGUCCGGAAUCACUGGGCGUAAAGGGCGCGUAGGCGGCUGGGGAAGUCGGCGGUGAAAGCCCGGAGCUCAACUCCAGAACUGCCUUCGAUACUGGAAAGCUCGAGUCCGGGAGAGGUGAGUGGAACUGCGAGUGUAGAGGUGAAAUUCGUAGAUAUUCGGAAGAACACCAGUGGCGAAGGCGACUUACUGGACACAUAUUGACGCUGAGGUGCGAAAGCGUGGGGAGCAAACAGG